This 746-nucleotide long non-coding RNA is filed under the name Anser brachyrhynchus (Pink-footed goose). RNAcentral describes it as "lncRNA (ENSABRG00000020394.1)". The record is from RNAcentral. Lineage: Eukaryota; Metazoa; Chordata; Aves; Anseriformes; Anatidae.
GACCGUGACCUCCACGCUGCAGCAACACUCCUUGGAAAAAAGAAAAUCUGUAUUCCCGUGAAGCAGAAAAUCAUUACUAAUUAAUAAAUCACUCUUCUAAGGAAAUAUGGGAAGAUGAUGGCAUCAUCUCUCAGCAUUCUGGUGAAGAGAGAUACAGUGGAUGCGGGGGCUGCCCCAGCAGCAGCUUCUCCCUGCAGAGCUGCAGAAGAGAAGUAGCCCUUGAGCACUCACCCUCCCUCUGUGAAAACAGUGUGCCACAUUCAAGAAUUAUUAGGUCAUAAAAGAUGGCCCAGAUCCCCACUGUCUGGAGUCACAGAGUCACGUCUACACUAUAGGUACCGCGAUACCUGACAAUAGUGCUUUGCUUCAAGGUAAAAAUGAUGGAGAGUGCAAGGCAGUGAAGAAACGGCCAGUUGAGACUCAAAAUGCUGAGAAGGUUGUUCCUAAUGAAGGGAAAGAAAAUUUAAAAGAAAGAGAAUGCAGAUAGCAGGCAUUAGGGAGCAAAGAAAUGCUGGAUCAAAUUCUCUGCUGCUUCUCAUGAGAGGGAGAGCACAGGAUGUUCAGCCCAGGAAGUGGGAAGCCCAAUAGCAUCCUCUGCUUUAUCUGGAAUAAUUACGAAGGGAUAGUAAACAGAAAAAAUGUCCUUGAUAAAAUACUUAUUUUCAUUAUCUCCUUUUUUUUUUUCAUUAUCUCCUUUUUUUUUUUCUUUCCUUGAACUUCCUUCAAAAAUAAAAUCUGUAAUUUUC